CCUAAAGCAUGAUGCCACCACCACCAUGCUUCAACGUGAGUAUGGUGUUCUUUUGGUGAUGUGCGUUUUUUCUUUUGCACCAAACAUACUUUUUGAUAUUAUGGAUUAUUAUAACUUUUGGAAUCGGUCUCGUCUGACCAUAAGACAUUUUGCCACGAGGGGUUUUUUUUUUGUGUGUGAGAGAAAGGGUUUCCUUCUAGCCACCCUAUUCCAAAGUCCAGACAUGUGAAGAAUAUGAGAGAUUGUGGUCACAUGCAGAGAGUAAUCUGUACUUGUCAGAUGACUCUCCUGCAGCUCCUUUAAUGUUGCCGUGGGUCUCUUGGCAGCCUCCCUGUGAGAUUCCCUGCAUGCUUCGUCAGCUCUUCGCAGACCAUGGCUUCAGCCUUCGGAUGAAACCAAGACGAUGUGAAGACAAGCCUACAGAAACAGCUGGUCUUUACUUGGGGUUGAUCAGAAUAAUUUCAUUGAUGACAGAUGUAUGAUAAUUACUUUUGAACGUGAGAUUGAAUGCCACGUCCCCAGUUAUAAAGGGGUGUGCACACUUAUGCAACCUUUUUAUUUUCCCCUUAAAUGUUUGAUUGUUUUACCCGUUGUGAUUUCAUAUUGAGAGCGGCGAAGUCCUGACAUGAUUUAUCUUAGUUUCAAUUUUUUCCAUCACCAAAACAUGCCAUUUUAACAGGGGUGUGCAGACUUUUUAUACCCACUGAAUACUGGAAUGAAUCGACAAGUUUAAACUGAUUAUUAUUAUUAUUAAUAUUAUUAAUAGUAGUAGUAGUAAUAUCAGACCAUUGGGCAGUUAUCUUCUUCCUAAUGCCAUUCUCCAGAUCAGUCCUGUAGGGUGUUGCGACUAGAGCCUUCAGCAAUGGUACACACACCUCCGGCAACCGAGUAAUCACCUCCAAAUCGGCCAUGUUGAAGCCAAUAGAAGAGGGUUCACAUACCACCAUGCUGACCAGCGUGAAGAAGGUGGCACUGAAAAAGUCCUCUUCCAGCAGCUGGAAUGAGAUUUUCAGACAAUGCAUGACAAGUUUUAUGUCCCUGUUUGGACCAAUAAAACGCAUCGUUGUGACAAGCAUCAGACCUUCCAGAGAUCCUUCUGGCAUUUAAGCAGCACCAUGGUGGAGAACUCCAGCAGGCGCACUAUGAUGGUGCACUUGCUGUAGUUGUAGAGCUCUGUCUCACGAGGGCUAAAGUGUGACCAAGUCGAGUCAGUCUCUUUGAAACAGGCCCUGGCAGCCUUCAGGUCAUGCAAUGCCAGUUCUGUCAGGAAGAAACGGAGGGCUGGCAGGAAGCUAGACUUCUCAGCAGAGUCUGAAUUCUGUGGGGCUGCAUGAGGCGGAGACUGGUGAAGGUGUUGUAGCAGUCAAGAACGGCCAGAAGAAGAUCCAUCCACUGCAGGGUGGCCCGGACACUGAAAGGGGCUUCCACUUCUCUCAAAGUAGGUUGGGAUAUCAAGCCUCCUCCUUCCAGAUGUGUAAUUAAAAACCCCUGACCCUCAUUUUUAACCUGCUCGUCCAGCCACUGUGCAGCAGUAGUAUUACCUGAGCAUGAAGGAAAAAGAAAUCAGAGUGGGUCUGAAAUCCCAUACAAUCGCUUAUCUCUUAAUCUACAAUUACAGCUAUAAUCC
Ictalurus punctatus (channel catfish) is the source of this 1627-nucleotide long non-coding RNA. NCBI's taxonomy places the organism in Eukaryota, Metazoa, Chordata, Actinopteri, Siluriformes, Ictaluridae. The record is from Ensembl.